Molecule: ribosomal RNA, 505 nt
Filed under: uncultured bacterium
Lineage: Bacteria
Description: partial 16S ribosomal RNA
Rfam family: Bacterial small subunit ribosomal RNA
Source: RNAcentral
GACGAACGCUGGCGGCGUGCCUAAUACAUGCCAGUAGAACGCACAGUUUAUACCGUAGCUUGCUACACCAUAGACUGUGAGUUGCGAACGGGUGAGUAACGCGUAGGUAACCUGCCUGGUAGCGGGGGAUAACUAUUGGAAACGAUAGCUAAUACCGCAUAAUAUUAAUUAUUGCAUGAUAAUUAAUUGAAAGGUGCAAUUGCACCACUACCAGAUGGACCUGCGUUGUAUUAGCUAGUAGGUGAGGUAACGGCUCACCUAGGCGACGAUACAUAGCCGACCUGAGAGGGUGAUCGGCCACACUGGGACUGAGACACGGCCCAGACCCCUACGGGAGGCAGCAGUAGGGAAUCUUCGGCAAUGGACGAAAGUCUGACCGAGCAACGCCGCGUGAGUGAAGAAGGUUUUCGGAUCGUAAAGCUCUGUUGUAAGAGAAGAACGGGUGUGAGAGUGGAAAGUUCACACUGUGACGGUAUCUUACCAGAAAGGGACGGCUAACUACGUG